This 634-nucleotide ribosomal RNA is filed under the name Bradyrhizobium japonicum. Its description in RNAcentral is "bacterial SSU rRNA". It matches the Rfam family "Bacterial small subunit ribosomal RNA", at positions 56 to 734 of the family's 1533-position model. The record is from RNAcentral. Lineage: Bacteria; Pseudomonadati; Pseudomonadota; Alphaproteobacteria; Hyphomicrobiales; Nitrobacteraceae.
UGCAAGUCGAGCGGGCGUAGCAAUACGUCAGCGGCAGACGGGUGAGUAACGCGUGGGAACGUACCUUUUGGUUCGGAACAACACAGGGAAACUUGUGCUAAUACCGGAUAAGCCCUUACGGGGAAAGAUUUAUCGCCGAAAGAUCGGCCCGCGUCUGAUUAGCUAGUUGGUAGGGUAACGGCCUACCAAGGCGACGAUCAGUAGCUGGUCUGAGAGGAUGAUCAGCCACAUUGGGACUGAGACACGGCCCAAACUCCUACGGGAGGCAGCAGUGGGGAAUAUUGGACAAUGGGGGCAACCCUGAUCCAGCCAUGCCGCGUGAGUGAUGAAGGCCCUAGGGUUGUAAAGCUCUUUUGUGCGGGAAGAUAAUGACGGUACCGCAAGAAUAAGCCCCGGCUAACUUCGUGCCAGCAGCCGCGGUAAUACGAAGGGGGCUAGCGUUGCUCGGAAUCACUGGGCGUAAAGGGUGCGUAGGCGGGUCUUUAAGUCAGGGGUGAAAUCCUGGAGCUCAACUCCAGAACUGCCUUUGAUACUGAAGAUCUUGAGUUCGGGAGAGGUGAGUGGAACUGCGAGUGUAGAGGUGAAAUUCGUAGAUAUUCGCAAGAACACCAGUGGCGAAGGCGGCUCACUGGCC